RNAcentral lists this ribosomal RNA (519 nucleotides) under uncultured bacterium. RNAcentral's name for it is "partial 16S ribosomal RNA". It matches the Rfam family "Bacterial small subunit ribosomal RNA", at positions 28 to 507 of the family's 1533-position model. The record is from RNAcentral.
GACGAACGCUGGCGGCGUGCCUAAUACAUGCAAGUCGAGCGAGUCUGCCUUGAAGAUCGGAGUGCUUGCACUCUGUGAAACAAGAUACAGGCUAGCGGCGGACGGGUGAGUAACACGUGGGUAACCUGCCCAAGAGAUCGGGAUAACACCUGGAAACAGAUGCUAAUACCGGAUAACAACAGAUGAUGCCUAUCAACUGUUUAAAAGAUGGUUCUGCUAUCACUCUUGGAUGGACCUGCGGUGCAUUAGCUAGUUGGUAGGGUAACGGCCUACCAAGGCGAUGAUGCAUAGCCGAGUUGAGAGACUGAUCGGCCACAUUGGGACUGAGACACGGCCCAAACUCCUACGGGAGGCAGCAGUAGGGAAUCUUCCACAAUGGACGCAAGUCUGAUGGAGCAACGCCGCGUGAGUGAAGAAGGGUUUCAGCUCGUAAAGCUCUGUUGUUGGUGAAGAAGGACAGGGGUAGUAACUGACCUUUGUUUGACGGUAAUCAAUGAGAAAGUCACGGCUAACUACGUG